RNAcentral lists this ribosomal RNA (238 nucleotides) under uncultured bacterium. Its description in RNAcentral is "partial 16S ribosomal RNA". It matches the Rfam family "Bacterial small subunit ribosomal RNA", at positions 96 to 334 of the family's 1533-position model. The record is from RNAcentral.
CGGCGGACGGGUGAGUAACGCGUGGGUAACCUGCCUCAUACAGGGGGAUAACAGUUAGAAAUGGCUGCUAAUACCGCAUAAGCGCACAGGACCGCAUGGUCUGGUGUGAAAAACUCCGGUGGUAUGAGAUGGACCCGCGUCUGAUUAGCUAGUUGGAGGGGUAACGGCCCACCAAGGCGACGGUCAGUAGCCGGCCUGAGAGGGUGAACGGCCACAUUGGGACUGAGACACGGCCCAG